Molecule: ribosomal RNA, 380 nt
Filed under: uncultured eukaryote
Lineage: Eukaryota
Description: partial 18S ribosomal RNA
Rfam family: Eukaryotic small subunit ribosomal RNA
Source: RNAcentral
CAAUAGCGUAUAUUAAAGUUGUUGCAGUUAAAAAGCUCGUAGUUGGAUUUGUGGCGUACGGUGUGUUCCGGGCACUUGUUGUCUGAGUAACCUGCUGUUGCCAUCCUUGGGUGGAACCUGUGUGGCAUUAGGUUGUCGUGCAGGGGAUGCCCAUCAUUUACUGUGAAAAAAUUAGAGUGUUCAAAGCAGGCUUAUGCCGUUGAAUAUAUUAGCAUGGAAUAAUGAGAUAGGACUUCUUUGCUAUUUUGUUGGUUUGCGCAAGAAGGUAAUGAUUAAUAGGGACAGUUGGGGGUAUUCGUAUUCCAUUGUCAGAGGUGAAAUUCUUGGAUUUUUGGAAGACGAACUACUGCGAAAGCAUUUACCAAGGAUGUUUUCAUUAA